This is a long non-coding RNA of Cydia amplana, 177 nucleotides long. RefSeq lists it as uncharacterized. The transcript is spliced from 2 exons. NCBI's taxonomy places the organism in Eukaryota, Metazoa, Arthropoda, Insecta, Lepidoptera, Tortricidae. The record is from RefSeq and is a predicted model, not a curated record.
AGGGGGCAGCAUAGGAGCCGUGAGAUUUUUGGCGCGAGGUGUAAAUGUGAAGUUUAUGCUUCCGAUGUAGCCCACAAGAUGGCAGAACCUACUAUGGGGCUGUUCAUAAAUUACAUGUUUAUGAUUCCGAUUCAGACCACAAGAUGGCAGACCCUCCAACACGCACGGUCCCUAUAC